AUGCAUCAAGCGUGUGGGCUCCGACAGUGAGAUGUUUUGACAGGCAUCAGAAUGUGUAAUGCAGGUGUGUCCUCAAAGCUUCUUCUCGCCGGUUUGUUUUGUGGCUCGUCCUGCAGACGGUGUAGAGGGGAAGUCGGAUGAAAAGGAGAAGAAGAAAGAAGGCUCCUCCGUGAGGUCAUCGUCCACCUCCAAGGACUCCGGCAACAGCGAGAAAAGAAAAAUUUGGAAAAGAAAUUCUCCAAUCUGCCCAACUCCCUUCAAAAAAGUCAGGGAGCGCAUCCUCUCUGACAGUUUCUCAGAAGAGGAUGGUGAUGACGACGAUGAUGGUGGGGUUGUUCCAGAGAAACUUUUGAAGGAGGCAAAAGAAAAACAACAUCUCUACAAAAAGAAAUCAAAGGAAACGUCCCUGCAGGAAACAAGAACACAUUUCAGAAACUGGAUGUGAGACUGGAGAGGAGCGAUCUGUACCCAAGGAAACAUAUAGUAUAUAGAAAUUACCUGGAAGGAGACAUUAGCAUCAGGAAAGAGGCCUUGGUCCGAAUUAUCAGGAACAACCACGACUCCUUAUUUGUCAAGGAAUUGGCAGUGGCAAUCUGGAGCACUAAAGCGCUGGGGGGGGAAAGCCUUACAGGGAAGGAGUGCCCCACCACCAAAUCCACCCGCCAGCCUUUAACCCCAAAGAAGCUGCAAACACUGAAAGUCUGCUUCAAGGAGUGGCUCCAGGAAAAAAAACUGGAGGAUACGGAGUUGCAGGCCAGAUGGGCAAAUGCUGGACGUUAUAUAACUGAAGAAAUCAUGGUCAUAAACUAACAAAAACAAAAAAUCAGUUAAUUAAUGAGUGAUUGAAAUGUUUAAUGUUUUGAUGUUGAUGUUUUAAUAGUUAAUUCUAAAUAGUUAUGUAAAUAGUUAAUUUGGUUGUUUCUCUUUUGUAAAGUGUUCCAUGUUCUUUAUUAUGUGUCUGUCAUAUUUAAUAAAUGGAAAUACUGUUUUGAAAACCUGACCAAUCAAC
Molecule: long non-coding RNA, 1009 nt
Organism: Cyclopterus lumpus (lumpfish)
Lineage: Eukaryota; Metazoa; Chordata; Actinopteri; Perciformes; Cyclopteridae
Exons: 5
Source: RefSeq, a predicted model, not a curated record